RNAcentral lists this transfer RNA (82 nucleotides) under Prevotella sp. CAG:873. It matches the Rfam family "tRNA". From Rfam's summary of the family: Transfer RNA (tRNA) molecules are approximately 80 nucleotides in length. Their secondary structure includes four short double-helical elements and three loops (D, anti-codon, and T loops). Further hydrogen bonds mediate the characteristic L-shaped molecular structure. tRNAs have two regions of fundamental functional importance: the anti-codon, which is responsible for specific mRNA codon recognition, and the 3' end, to which the tRNAs corresponding amino acid is attached (by aminoacyl-tRNA synthetases). tRNAs cope with the degeneracy of the genetic code in two manners: having more than one tRNA (with a specific anti-codon) for a particular amino acid; and 'wobble' base-pairing, i.e. permitting non-standard base-pairing at the 3rd anti-codon position. The record is from Rfam by way of RNAcentral. Lineage: Bacteria; Pseudomonadati; Bacteroidota; Bacteroidia; Bacteroidales; Prevotellaceae.
GGAAGAAUGGCGAAAUGGUAGACGCGCCGCACUCAAAAUGCGGUGGCCGCAGGUCGUAAGGGUUCGAGUCCCUUUUCUUCCA